MicroRNA precursor from Medicago truncatula (barrel medic), 89 nucleotides. It matches the Rfam family "MIR2617 microRNA precursor family". Lineage: Eukaryota; Viridiplantae; Streptophyta; Magnoliopsida; Fabales; Fabaceae. The record is from Rfam.
AUUUGCAAUGUAGCAUGCCCGUUUGGUGCUUAACUCUGAUGAAUAAUUGUUAUUUAAUUACUUUUGGGUAACGGGGUGUUACAGGCAAA